CGGAGCCAAUCAGCAGGUCUGCAUGGAGGUAUAGACGCAGGGGGUGGGACGCAGCGCUCCGCAUCCGGUGGCAGGGUCUGGGGAAGGGGCGGUAGGCGCCAUGUCGGGCCGCGAAGGUGGCAAGAAGAAGCCCCUGAAGCAGCCCAAGAAACAGGCCAAGGAGAUGGACGAGGAAGAUAAGGCAUUCAAGCAGAAACAAAAGGAGGAGCAAAAGAAACUCGAGGAGCUAAAAGCGAAGGCCGCGGGGAAAGGCCCCUUGGCCACCGGUGGAAUUAAGAAAUCUGGCAAAAAGUAAACUGUUCCAUUGUGCCUGAGGCAAUGAUGAUUCCAUUCCUGUUUAAACAUCUGGAUUCCCUGCUAUAACAUCUUUUGCCACCUAUAGCUAGAAUGAAGUGUUGUCUUGGAACCUAUUGUACAUUUAAGAAUAAACUUUUGUAAAAAAAAAAAAAGAAAGAAAAAAAAGCAGUGACUCAUUUCAUCUUUGGUUCUUUUCAGUCAUUUCUACCUUGGCUAUGAGAUAUAAACCUAGCCCAGAAUCCUGCCAAAGUGCAUUCUUUAAGGCAUUGUGCUAUCCCAAAUUCUGUACCACCUGGAAUUAAACCAACUCAUUUGAAAUGGC
Long non-coding RNA from Sus scrofa (pig), 619 nucleotides. RefSeq lists it as uncharacterized. Lineage: Eukaryota; Metazoa; Chordata; Mammalia; Artiodactyla; Suidae. The record is from RefSeq and is a predicted model, not a curated record.